GGUGGAUAUAACUUAGUCGGUUAAAGUAUUAGACUGUGACUCUAAGAACACGGGUUCGAAUCCCGUUAUUCACC
RNAcentral lists this transfer RNA (74 nucleotides) under Chlorella heliozoae. Its description in RNAcentral is "tRNA-His". It matches the Rfam family "tRNA". Rfam says of the family: Transfer RNA (tRNA) molecules are approximately 80 nucleotides in length. Their secondary structure includes four short double-helical elements and three loops (D, anti-codon, and T loops). Further hydrogen bonds mediate the characteristic L-shaped molecular structure. tRNAs have two regions of fundamental functional importance: the anti-codon, which is responsible for specific mRNA codon recognition, and the 3' end, to which the tRNAs corresponding amino acid is attached (by aminoacyl-tRNA synthetases). tRNAs cope with the degeneracy of the genetic code in two manners: having more than one tRNA (with a specific anti-codon) for a particular amino acid; and 'wobble' base-pairing, i.e. permitting non-standard base-pairing at the 3rd anti-codon position. The record is from RNAcentral. Lineage: Eukaryota; Viridiplantae; Chlorophyta; Trebouxiophyceae; Chlorellales; Chlorellaceae.